RNAcentral lists this ribosomal RNA (253 nucleotides) under uncultured bacterium. Its description in RNAcentral is "partial 16S ribosomal RNA". It matches the Rfam family "Bacterial small subunit ribosomal RNA", at positions 524 to 776 of the family's 1533-position model. The record is from RNAcentral.
UACAGGGGGUGCAAACGUUGCUCGGAAUCAUUGGGCGUAAAGCGUGCGCAGGCGGUUUGUUAAGUCCGCUGUGAAAUCCCCGAGCUCAACUUGGGAAUUGCAGUGGAUACUGGCAAGCUGGAGUAUGGUAGAGGAAGGUGGAAUUCCCGGUGUAGCAGUGAAAUGCGUAGAGAUCGGGAGGAACACCAGUGGCGAAGGCGGCCUUCUGGACCAAUACUGACGCUCAUGCACGAAAGCGUGGGGAGCAAACAGG